This 554-nucleotide long non-coding RNA is filed under the name Homo sapiens (human). Its description in RNAcentral is "non-protein coding MIR99AHG:3". The record is from RNAcentral. Lineage: Eukaryota; Metazoa; Chordata; Mammalia; Primates; Hominidae.
GUCUAGGGGAGAGCCUGUAGGUACUCCAUUGUCUGAUGGAUCUGAGAACGCUGUCUGGGCUUGGUACCAAGAGCUGGUAUUUCACAGCAGCGACCGCCUCACAGACGAGCUGUGGGAAGCAGGAGGGAGACUCUCUCUUAGGGUGCCACUACUAUGGAGACACAGCUGGGCUGAACAAGAUUUGCUUCAAACGACAACAAGAGAGACAGAAAGUAUCUGGUUCAACCGCUGCCCGAGCAGGCAGGCACCAGAAGAGCUAGCAGCCAAUCCGGCCAUGCUCGAAGCCAGCUCUGCAGCUCAGCCAAUCAGUGACAUCAUUGCUUUCUUUAGCUUGCCCAUGGUGAUGUGAAGAUGAGAAGAAAUAGCAAGGCCCAACCAGUUCUUCAUCUGGAGACAGUUCAACGUUCUGCAAACCAGAUCUUCAGGAAUUUUACUGGGAUAAUUAUCCAAAUAAAUUGCAAGCAUUCUAUCCAAAUGGAGCUCUUUCUGAGAUGAAGAGAAUUCUCAAUGUCAAGAUUUGAACAAGAAGAGAAUGGAAUACACAAUAUGGACAU